UCGCGACGUAGUUGAUCGAUGGCUACAGGACGACGCUGGCGGCGUGCCUAACACAUGCAAGUCGAACGGGGUACCUUCGGGUACUUAGUGGCGAACGGGUGAGUAACGCGUGAGGAACCUACCUUCCAGAGGGGGACAACAGUUGGAAACGACUGCUAAUACCGCAUAAGACCACGGUAUCGCAUGAUACAGUGAUCAAAGGAGCAAUCCGCUAAAAGAUGGGCCCGCGUCUGAUUAGAUAGUUGGUGGGGUAACGGCCUACCAAGUCAACGAUCAGUAGCCGGACUGAGAGGUUGAUCGGCCACAUUGGGACUGAGACACGGCCCAGACUCCUACGGGAGGCAGCAGUGGGGAAUAUUGCACAAUGGGGGAAACCCUGAUGCAGCGACGCCGCGUGAGGGAAGAAGGUAUUCGUAUUGUAAACCUCUGUCUUCGGGGACGAUAAUGACGGUACCCGAGGAGGAAGCACCGGCUAACUACGUG
Molecule: ribosomal RNA, 483 nt
Filed under: uncultured bacterium
Lineage: Bacteria
Description: bacterial SSU rRNA
Rfam family: Bacterial small subunit ribosomal RNA
Source: RNAcentral